This 999-nucleotide long non-coding RNA is filed under the name Capsicum annuum. Its description in RNAcentral is "long non-coding RNA (CANN_LNC000390)". Lineage: Eukaryota; Viridiplantae; Streptophyta; Magnoliopsida; Solanales; Solanaceae. The record is from RNAcentral.
UCUAUUCUAUACAAUUAGUAGAAUUUUCCCCUAAAAUGUCUCUGACAGAUAUUAUUUCUAAGUUCUGCCAAUUGCCACAUAUUCAUUGGGUUGGAUUGAUAACUUGGGCCUCUGAAUAGCCUAUGGACUAUGCCAGUUUGGUUAGUAAUAAUUCUUAAAAGGAAAAAUUACUGAAGCUAACAUACCUAAGACCUUAAUUAUAAUUAAUAAUAAUAUUUUAUCAAAAUUCUAAAAUAUAACAAAAGUAGUAAUAUUUUAUCCUUUUAUUAAUAAGCGCUUCUACUACACCUUUUUUUUUCUCCUAUUUUUACGCCACUUUCUAUUGCAUUUCCCUCCAAUAUAAGUUUCCUUUGAUUCCUUUUUUGUAUUUUUUUCUUCAACUUUCUUUUUUAUUUUUGGGGGUUUUGUAAUUUUUUUGGGUGUUUUUCUAGUCAGGUGAUGCCACUUCCGGCGAUGGGUAGGCUGAUGGCUUCAAUUGGACUUGCCUGUUCCGAUGUUUUUCAAUGGGUUUUUGACGGAGGAAAGAUCUAUCCGACGGGUUUCGCCGUAAUGGUGACCGGCAGUGACAGUAAUGAAGUUUUACCGGCGAGUCUUAGCCGAAAUCAAUCACAGAGGUCGAAUUUUAGUUGAUGGUUUGCUAAUUUUGCAGAUCCGGUGAAGGACAAGCUUUGCCAUCGUUUUUUAUGGAUUUUCCGGCGAUGUGAUAGCGCCGGGUUGGUAUAUUUUGGCUAGAUUUCGCUAAAAAAAUUGUUUUACCGCCUGUUUACUCUUCUGAAAUGGAAAACAUUAGAAAACCUUCAUCUCAAAAACACCAAAAAGUGCAAAAAAAUGUGAAAAAGAGGAAGUCAAACGAAAAGGAAGAAUAUGUAUUUUCGAGUUGUGCAUAUGUAUUUAUGAUUAAUGCAUAUGUAUAUUUUCAGUUAUGCAUAUAUAUUUAUGAAUAAUACAUAUGUAUUACCAAAUUGUAUAUGUAUUUAUGACUAAUGCAUAUGUAUUUUU